Molecule: transfer RNA, 87 nt
Filed under: Ralstonia solanacearum
Lineage: Bacteria; Pseudomonadati; Pseudomonadota; Betaproteobacteria; Burkholderiales; Burkholderiaceae
Also listed under: 8 other names
Description: tRNA-Leu
Rfam family: tRNA
About the family: Transfer RNA (tRNA) molecules are approximately 80 nucleotides in length. Their secondary structure includes four short double-helical elements and three loops (D, anti-codon, and T loops). Further hydrogen bonds mediate the characteristic L-shaped molecular structure. tRNAs have two regions of fundamental functional importance: the anti-codon, which is responsible for specific mRNA codon recognition, and the 3' end, to which the tRNAs corresponding amino acid is attached (by aminoacyl-tRNA synthetases). tRNAs cope with the degeneracy of the genetic code in two manners: having more than one tRNA (with a specific anti-codon) for a particular amino acid; and 'wobble' base-pairing, i.e. permitting non-standard base-pairing at the 3rd anti-codon position.
Source: RNAcentral
GCCGGCGUGGCGAAAUCGGUAUACGCAAGGGACUUAAAAUCCCUCCUCUUCACGGAGAUGCGGGUUCAAGUCCCGCCGCCGGCACCA